CAGUCCAACAGCUAGCCCAACAAACCAAAAACAACAACUCAACAUAAAUAACCCCUAAAACAAUAAAAUAAACCAAACAAACCAUUUUUCCACCCCAGUAUGGGCGACAGAAAAGGAACUACG
Molecule: ribosomal RNA, 123 nt
Filed under: Ablabys taenianotus (cockatoo waspfish)
Lineage: Eukaryota; Metazoa; Chordata; Actinopteri; Perciformes; Tetrarogidae
Description: partial 16S rRNA
Source: RNAcentral